This 453-nucleotide ribosomal RNA is filed under the name Salmonella enterica subsp. enterica serovar Heidelberg. RNAcentral describes it as "partial 23S ribosomal RNA". It matches the Rfam family "Bacterial large subunit ribosomal RNA", at positions 67 to 559 of the family's 2925-position model. RNAcentral also lists the same sequence under 4 other names. Lineage: Bacteria; Pseudomonadati; Pseudomonadota; Gammaproteobacteria; Enterobacterales; Enterobacteriaceae. The record is from RNAcentral.
UGCGAUAAGCGCCGGUAAGGUGAUAUGAACCGUUAUAACCGGCGAUACCCGAAUGGGGAAACCCAGUGUGACUCGUCACACUAUCAUUAACUGAAUCCAUAGGUUAAUGAGGCGAACCGGGGGAACUGAAACAUCUAAGUACCCCGAGGAAAAGAAAUCAACCGAGAUUCCCCCAGUAGCGGCGAGCGAACGGGGAGGAGCCCAGAGCCUGAAUCAGCAUGUGUGUUAGUGGAAGCGUCUGGAAAGGCGCGCGAUACAGGGUGACAGCCCCGUACACAAAAGCGCAUGUGCUGUGAGCUCGAUGAGUAGGGCGGGACACGUGGUAUCCUGUCUGAAUAUGGGGGGACCAUCCUCCAAGGCUAAAUACUCCUGACUGACCGAUAGUGAACCAGUACCGUGAGGGAAAGGCGAAAAGAACCCCGGCGAGGGGAGUGAAAAAGAACCUGAAACCGU